This 274-nucleotide unclassified non-coding RNA is filed under the name Basidiomycota sp. Its description in RNAcentral is "partial contains small subunit ribosomal RNA, internal transcribed spacer 1, and 5.8S ribosomal RNA". The stretch from base 1 to 47 matches the Rfam family "Eukaryotic small subunit ribosomal RNA", at positions 1785 to 1831 of the family's 1831-position model. Lineage: Eukaryota; Fungi; Basidiomycota. The record is from RNAcentral.
AAAGUCGUAACAAGGUUUCCGUAGGUGAACCUGCGGAAGGAUCAUUACCGAACUGUCGACACGAGUUGUUGCUGGUCCUCGAAAGGGGGCACGUGCACGCUCUGUUCACACAUCCACUCACACCUGUGCACCCUCUGUAGUUCUAUGGCCUUGGGGACUCUGUCCCCUUGCUGUGGUCCUACGUCUUUACACACACACCGAUGAAGUCUCAUGGAAUGUAUGUCGCGUUUAACGCAAUACAAUACAACUUUCAGCAACGGAUCUCUUGGCUCUC